Molecule: ribosomal RNA, 407 nt
Filed under: uncultured bacterium
Lineage: Bacteria
Description: partial 16S ribosomal RNA
Rfam family: Bacterial small subunit ribosomal RNA
Source: RNAcentral
GACGAACGCUGGCGGCGUGCCUAAUACAUGCAAGUCGAACGGAGCGGCGGACGGGGGAGUAAUGCCUAGGAAUCUGCCUGGUAGUGGGGGAUAACGUCCGGAAACGGGCGCUAAUACCGCAUACUAUCAGAUGAGCCUAGGGCGGUUUAGCUAGGUGGUGGGGUAACGGCCUACCAAGGCGACGAUCCGUAACUGGGCUGAGAGGAUGAUCAGUCACACUGGAACUGAGACACGGUCCAGCCUCCGACGGGAUGCAGCAGUGGGGAAUAUUGGACAAUUGGCGAAAGCCUGAUCCAGCCAUGCGGCGUGUGUGAAGAAGGUCUUCGGAUUGUAAAGCACUUUAAGUUGGGAGGCGUUACCAACAGAAUAAGCACCGGCUAACUUCGUGCCAGCCGCCGCGGUAAUAC